Molecule: ribosomal RNA, 939 nt
Filed under: Alauda arvensis (Eurasian skylark)
Lineage: Eukaryota; Metazoa; Chordata; Aves; Passeriformes; Alaudidae
Description: partial 16S ribosomal RNA
Rfam family: Bacterial large subunit ribosomal RNA
Source: RNAcentral
AGAAUUAAUGCUAGAAUGAGUAACCAGGGUAAACCCCUCUACGACGCAAGCUUACAUCUGUACAUUAUUAACAAGCACCCAAUAUACGACAAAUCCAACAAGCAGAGUAUUAAACACCUUGUUAACCCAACAGAGGAGCGUCCGUUAAGAAAGAUUAAAACCUGUAAAAGGAACUCGGCAAACCCAAGGCCCGACUGUUUACCAAAAACAUAGCCUUCAGCAAACCAAAGGACAAGUAUUGAAGGUGAUGCCUGCCCGGUGACAUAGUUUAACGGCCGCGGUAUCCUAACCGUGCAAAGGUAGCGCAAUCAAUUGUCCCAUAAAUCGGGACACGUAUGAAUGGCUAAACGAGGUCUUAACUGUCUCUUACAGGCAAUCGGUGAAAUUGAUCUCCCUGUGCAAAAGCAGGGAUAACCCCAUAAGACGAGAAGACCCUGUGGAACUUCAAAAACAGCAACCACCCCAAUAUACAUUCACACCCAAAGCACUGGUUCGCAUUUUUUCGGUUGGGGCGACCUUGGAGCAAAACAAAACCUCCAAAAAUUGGACCAUUCCUCCAGACUAAGAGCAACUCCUCAACGUGCCAACAGCACCCAGACCCAAUAUAAUUGAUCAAUGGACCAAGCUACCCCAGGGAUAACAGCGCAAUCUCCCCCGAGAGUCCAUAUCGACGGGGAGGUUUACGACCUCGAUGUUGGAUCAGGACAUCCUAGUGGUGCAGGAGCUACUAAGGGUUCGUUUGUUCAACGAUUAACAGUCCUACGUGAUCUGAGUUCAGACCGGAGCAAUCCAGGUCGGUUUCUAUCUAUGAUGAACUCUUCCUCGUACGAAAGGAUCGGAAAAGUGAGGCCAAUACCACAAGCAAGCCUUCGCCUUAAGUAAUGAAGCCAACUCAAUUACAAAAGGCUAUCACUUCCCCCCCCGUCCUAGAAAAGGAUC